GAUGAACGCUGGCGGCGUGCCUAAUACAUGCAAGUCGAGCGAACAGACGAGGAGCUUGCUCCUCUGACGUUAGCGGCGGACGGGUGAGUAACACGUGGAUAACCUACCUAUAAGACUGGGAUAACUUCGGGAAACCGGAGCUAAUACCGGAUAAUAUAUUGAACCGCAUGGUUCAAUAGUGAAAGACGGUUUUGCUGUCACUUAUAGAUGGAUCCGCGCCGCAUUAGCUAGUUGGUAAGGUAACGGCUUACCAAGGCAGCGAUGCGUAGCCGACCUGAGAGGGUGAUCGGCCACACUGGAACUGAGACACGGUCCAGACUCCUACGGGAGGCAGCAGUAGGGAAUCUUCCGCAAUGGGCGAAAGCCUGACGGAGCAACGCCGCGUGAGUGAUGAAGGUCUUCGGAUCGUAAAACUCUGUUAUUAGGGAAGAACAAAUGUGUAAGUAACUAUGCACGUCUUGACGGUACCUAAUCAGAAAGCCACGGCUAACUACAUG
RNAcentral lists this ribosomal RNA (497 nucleotides) under uncultured bacterium. Its description in RNAcentral is "partial 16S ribosomal RNA". It matches the Rfam family "Bacterial small subunit ribosomal RNA", at positions 28 to 507 of the family's 1533-position model. The record is from RNAcentral.